RNAcentral lists this ribosomal RNA (442 nucleotides) under uncultured bacterium. Its description in RNAcentral is "bacterial SSU rRNA". It matches the Rfam family "Bacterial small subunit ribosomal RNA", at positions 28 to 507 of the family's 1533-position model. The record is from RNAcentral.
GGUUAACGUUGGCAGUGUGCCUAACACAUGCAAGUCGAGCGAUAUAGCGGCAGACGAGAGAGUAAUAACAAGGAACUUGCCCCGAACUCAAGGAUAGCCCAGAGAAAUCUGGGGUAAACCUGGAUGGUCCCGCAAGGGUAAAGAUUUAUCGGUUCGGGAGAGGCCUUGUUCCUAUCAGCUAGUUGGUAAGGUAAUGGCUUACCAAGGCGAUGACGGGUAGCUGGUCUGAGAGGAUGACCAGCCUCGAUGGGACUGAGACACGGCCCAUACUCCUACGGGAGGCAGCAGUAGGGAAUUUUGCACAAUGGAGGCAACUCUGAUGCAGCAACACUGCGUGAAGGAUGAAGGUUUUCGGAUCGUAAACUCCUUUUGCGGGGGAAAAUAGCGGCGUGAAGAGCGCCGACUGAUGGUACUCCGCGAAUAAGCCACGGCUAACUUCGUG